Molecule: ribosomal RNA, 892 nt
Filed under: Burkholderia cenocepacia
Lineage: Bacteria; Pseudomonadati; Pseudomonadota; Betaproteobacteria; Burkholderiales; Burkholderiaceae
Description: bacterial LSU rRNA
Rfam family: Bacterial large subunit ribosomal RNA
Source: RNAcentral
AAGUGUUUGUGAUGAUGCAAUCUACCCGCGGCUAGACGGAAAGACCCCAUGAACCUUUACUGUAGCUUUGCAUUGGACUUUGAACCGAUCUGUGUAGGAUAGGUGGGAGGCUAUGAAACCGGAACGCUAGUUUCGGUGGAGCCGUCCUUGAAAUACCACCCUGGUUUGUUUGAGGUUCUAACCUUGGCCCGUGAUCCGGGUCGGGGACAGUGCAUGGUAGGCAGUUUGACUGGGGCGGUCUCCUCCCAAAGCGUAACGGAGGAGUACGAAGGUACGCUAGGUACGGUCGGAAAUCGUGCUGAUAGUGCAAUGGCAUAAGCGUGCUUAACUGCGAGACCGACAAGUCGAGCAGGUGCGAAAGCAGGUCAUAGUGAUCCGGUGGUUCUGUAUGGAAGGGCCAUCGCUCAACGGAUAAAAGGUACUCUGGGGAUAACAGGCUGAUACCGCCCAAGAGUUCAUAUCGACGGCGGUGUUUGGCACCUCGAUGUCGGCUCAUCUCAUCCUGGGGCUGUAGCCGGUCCCAAGGGUAUGGCUGUUCGCCAUUUAAAGAGGUACGUGAGCUGGGUUUAAAACGUCGUGAGACAGUUUGGUCCCUAUCUGCCGUGGGCGUUGGAUAUUUGAAGGGGGCUGCUCCUAGUACGAGAGGACCGGAGUGGACGAACCUCUGGUGUACCGGUUGUCACGCCAGUGGCAUCGCCGGGUAGCUAUGUUCGGAAGAGAUAACCGCUGAAAGCAUCUAAGCGGGAAACUCGCCUUAAGAUGAGAUAUCCCUGGGGACUAGAUCCCCUUGAAGGGUCGUUCGAGACCAGGACGUUGAUAGGUCAGGUGUGUAAGCGCAGUAAUGCGUUCAGCUAACUGAUACUAAUUGCCCGUAAGGCUUGAUCCUAUAACA